Molecule: small RNA, 28 nt
Filed under: Bombyx mori (domestic silkworm)
Lineage: Eukaryota; Metazoa; Arthropoda; Insecta; Lepidoptera; Bombycidae
Description: ovarian small RNA-32794
Source: RNAcentral
UGAUGACGUGCGUUCUAAUACUUUUAUG